RNAcentral lists this transfer RNA (72 nucleotides) under Loxodonta africana (African savanna elephant). It matches the Rfam family "tRNA". From Rfam's summary of the family: Transfer RNA (tRNA) molecules are approximately 80 nucleotides in length. Their secondary structure includes four short double-helical elements and three loops (D, anti-codon, and T loops). Lineage: Eukaryota; Metazoa; Chordata; Mammalia; Proboscidea; Elephantidae. The record is from Rfam by way of RNAcentral.
GCCUUGGUGGUGUAACGGUUAAGCGCUUGGCUACAAACUGAAAGGCUGGUGGUUCAAAUCCACCCAGCGGCU